This 535-nucleotide long non-coding RNA is filed under the name Setaria viridis. Its description in RNAcentral is "long non-coding RNA (SVIR_LNC001379)". Lineage: Eukaryota; Viridiplantae; Streptophyta; Magnoliopsida; Poales; Poaceae. The record is from RNAcentral.
UCUCUGAUAUGCUCUCAUAUUCUUUUACGUGAUACUGUUACUAUUAUUCACUGGUGAUGUCACUAUAUGUAUGAAACUUGAUCCUGGCAUACAUAUAGGUAGUACUUGGUUUUGUUUUAAAACCGGGUGUGAAAGAAGUGGUAUUAGAGCUGUAUCAACUGUAGGAUGUAAGCCUAGAUAGCAAUGGUCGUUUUCUAAGGUUUCUUUUGAUAUAAAAUUUAUUCCUGCCUUAUCCUUAACCUCACUCCUUGAUCACUUUCUUUUCUCAAUCCUCCUUGAUGACUUGAGUUCUUUUCAUUUGCACUUAUUAUUUUGCACAUGUUAGAUCCUCAAUCCUUGUCUAUUUAUUUCCUAUCUCCUUGAUCACUACUUGAUCUUGAUCAUGCAUAUGCUUUUUGUAGAAUAAUCUUACCUAUUUCAUGCAAUACACCUCCUUGAUUACUUAGUGAUAUUGCUACCCUCUCAUCCCCUGUUCAUGUAUCUCUUUGAUAUUUUCCUUACCUACUUAUCCUUGUAAACCUAUCUUUUCCUUAAC